GCUUUUGUUAUUAUUUCAUGGACAUUGAUUGAGUUAAUUUAUUAAAACACGUACUACACCAGAUGACCAGAAGCAGGACUGGCAUCGGGCUAUCUUCUCACCUACUCCACACUAUCAACACGUAUUCAUUUUCUUCUUUCUCUAGUCUUUGGUCUUUUCGGAGCUCCCAGCCAUGGAAAGGAGCAAAAGGCUGAGCCAGAUUAGAUCCACUCCAUCUCAAGACAAGCCCGAGUCUCCCCUCGGUUUGCUACUUUGUGGUCCUCACCUCCACACGCACCUCGUGGCUGGGAUGAUGCUUGGAUCCCGGCCGGUGAACACGUAGCAGGGCCCUAAUAGCAGCUGCGUGAUGGAGAACGCGAGGUCGUCGGGCUCGACGAUGCCUUUCCCGUCAGCGUCCAUGUAGGCGAUGGAGUGGAUCUCGUUCCCUUAGCUCCUGCGCAAUUUUGGGGAUCCUGGGAGGGUUAUCCGUCCCCAACCGUCGAGCUGCAGGCGUCGUUGCUGUUCCCAAGCGAGGCACCUGACGCAUCUUCUUCAUCCUCUACAGUAGCAGCCCGGCUUUGGCGUUGCAUUCUUCCACCUGCAAUAUACUUUAAGAUUGACUUCUUGUCCAUGUACCAAAUGAAGAUAGUAAGUUCUGGACGCCUAACGCCGCUUAAUGCAAAAUUUUAAUCAGUUUAUGUCCCCUCCACUUUUUUCGGGCUUGGGACUGGAAUAGGUAGUGUUCGACCCCCUACACCCAUUAAUUUUCAGCAAAUUAAGGAAAUAAUUAGUGUCUUUAUGUUUUGGCGCAGUGGUAAAGCUGCUGCCUUGUGACCAUGAGGUCAUGGGUUCAAGUCCUGGAAACAGCCUCUUACAGAAAUGUAGGGAAAGGCUGCGUACUAUAGACCCAAAGUGGUCGGACCCUUCCCUGGACCCUGCGCAAGCGGGAGCUACAUGCACCAGGUAUUUAUGGAUAUAUAAAAGGCCGGUAGCAUCCGUCUAGUUCACGGCGACGGACAUGGCCUCUGCACCGGCGAACAUUCAAGCCAAUACCCAUCUAGUUCAUAUGUAUGCAAGUAGCGCCACAUUUAAUAAAUCUUUGUUUCUGUCUGACCAAAUCCUUUGGUUUGUAUUGAUCAGUGUAUACAUGUCCUUGCCCUGAGUGCAUGUACCACUCUUAUAUUGUAAAUUCCCAAAGAGACAAUUGAUGACGGCACCUUAGAUUACAAAUUGAUAAUGUACAAUUAGUUAAGUGAAAUCGGUUCUGGCUCUCCAUGUUUCAUGGGGUGAAGCACAAUAUGUGUAAAGCCCUAUCGAGUUUUACCAUCUGAGCCACUUAGUACUGCGAUACAGUGGAGAUUCCAGCAAUCCUACAGUCCGUGGAUACUGCUAUUCAGUAGGUUAAUAGCGUGCCCCCCUUUUUAAAAAACCAUUUUAUUUGUUUUUAGUAAGUUUAUUCCUUUUUGUAAUAUAUUUUGAGCUCUUCUUUAGAUAGCUAAUUCUUUGGUCUCAUUUAUUUGCUGUUUCUAUGAGUGUUUGUCCUCAUAUUUAGGUGAAAAUCCGAGUUGAAGAGGCGUGGGUCUAUCAUAAGGACCUGGUGAUUUUCAGGAAUGGAUAUGCGGAUCAUACAUGUUACGAAUCUACAUAACCUACCGAGUAUGCCUCUUUUUCGAUUCUAUUGUCGCCAUAAAGAAAAGCCUCCUUUUUCAAUUCUUUGUGAAAUUAAAAAAUAAGUACAUAUGAGAAAGGAUGGUGUAAUAUCAAUAUAAUUUGCAUAAUUAAAUGUUAAGAUGAGAACGACUAAACAUUCAGUGUCUCCAAACUGGAUAAGUCUGCAUGCACACAUAGUAAGUUAAAUCCAUGUUCUCAUGGACUCUUAAAGUAAACACAAUUGUAUGCUAAUGCAGACUACUUCCAAGUAUAUAGAAUAUCUAGAAUAUAUUUGUAUAAGUGCAGCCAAGGGGAUUAAGUUUGUAGUUUAGCACUUGCUAAUGCGUCGUCCUAGCCUGUGUUCCUUCCAGGUGCUUUCCUAAUCCUCUUGUCUUCUGUUGAUUCUUUUCUCUUAUUUUUGCAUUCUGUCCUUUUAUUUUUCGUUUUUUCCUUUAGAUUUUGAAUCCAUUCUCACUAAAAGUUGAAUGUGAAUAAUAUACUUUCCCUGCUAGGCAAACUUUAAUAGAAAACUAAUUGUGUUUAUAGAUGCAUAUGUGGCAUUGUAGCACCAAGCUGUUGGUGCAUGUCCGUUCAAACAUAAAAAAAAGAACCUUCUUUCUUAGCUGAGAAUACCUCGUCAUUGGUACCAUCAAUGCUAAAAUGGUCAUGAUUUUUGUCAUGUCCUGCCAGUAAGGUAAGGUAGAAUACCAUAUAGUUUAAAAUAUAAAAUUGGACAUUUGUUUUUCUUAAAACAAAAAUUUAAAGUUUUGACAUGUGUAAAUUAUUUUUGCAGGUACAUGCAUUUAUUGGGUCCAAUAAUCACCCUGGUUAUCGAUAAACGAUUAGAAACAUUGGAUUUGGGGUAUUGCAAAAAUAGUUUAAAGUUCUCACCUUUGAUACUUGAAUAAAAUUGGAAGUGACAGUCAUGAUUGUUUUUUGUGCCAAACUUCCAUUUACCAUAUUUGCUAAAAUAUAUCCCCGUAGAGUGAUCCCUACCUUCUCACCACUGAAAGAAUUUGACCAUGUAAAAGUAAUGUAAAAAGUCAUACAUAAUUCUGAAAUUGCUUACAUAAUUGAAAUAA
Molecule: long non-coding RNA, 2711 nt
Organism: Triticum aestivum (bread wheat)
Lineage: Eukaryota; Viridiplantae; Streptophyta; Magnoliopsida; Poales; Poaceae
Exons: 3
Source: RefSeq, a predicted model, not a curated record